Non-coding RNA from Hammondia hammondi, 72 nucleotides. The record is from Rfam. Lineage: Eukaryota; Apicomplexa; Conoidasida; Eucoccidiorida; Sarcocystidae.
GCCACCUUAGCUUAGUGGUAGAGCAUCGGUCUUGUAAACCGAAGGUCGUGGGUUCGAUUCCCAUAGGUGGCU